Non-coding RNA from Cinara cedri, 208 nucleotides. The record is from the annotation of a GenBank genome assembly. Lineage: Eukaryota; Metazoa; Arthropoda; Insecta; Hemiptera; Aphididae.
AAUAUUAUUAAAAUAUAAUAAGUAACAGGUCACAUCCCCGCCUGAUAUUUUGCCGUCUAAAACAGUAACUGUGCGAAUAAAAAAUAUUGUAAAUUUUUACCAUCAAAAACGCAGUCUUGGAGAAUAUUUGAGUAGGACGGUUCGUAUACAAUUGAAAAAUGUGAUAAGCAUUUGUUUGCAGGAAACGGCGACGGAAGAAUGUCUAACG